This 54-nucleotide non-coding RNA is filed under the name unclassified sequences. Its description in RNAcentral is "DUF3800-VI RNA". It matches the Rfam family "DUF3800-VI RNA". Rfam says of the family: Actinobacteria, Planctomycetes, Proteobacteria, Spirochaetes. Nearby to DUF3800 The record is from RNAcentral.
AGGUCGAGAGUGCUGCCUAUAAGCGGUGCGCAGAACGAAUGGUUCUCUCGGCUC